UCCUUCAAACCUCUUUCUCUUGUCCUCCAUUACAUCAAAAUAAAAAUAAAAAUAAUUAAACUCUAAUACUUCUUACCUCAAUCUUUGACAUUGGGUUCACUACUUACAUCAUAUUAUGUGGUCUUGCUUGAACAUGCACUGAGAAUUUGGCUAUAGAAGAUAGAAGAGAAAUUACAACAAUAAGAUCUUAACAACUCUAAUAGAAUCCUAAAUAAACUCUAAUUAAAUCUUAAUAAUGCUAAUCCAAUUUUAAUCAAAUCCAAAAGAAAUCUUUAAA
RNAcentral lists this long non-coding RNA (277 nucleotides) under Physcomitrium patens. RNAcentral's name for it is "long non-coding RNA (PPAT_LNC010440)". Lineage: Eukaryota; Viridiplantae; Streptophyta; Bryopsida; Funariales; Funariaceae. The record is from RNAcentral.